This 460-nucleotide ribosomal RNA is filed under the name uncultured bacterium. RNAcentral describes it as "partial 16S ribosomal RNA". It matches the Rfam family "Bacterial small subunit ribosomal RNA", at positions 338 to 795 of the family's 1533-position model. The record is from RNAcentral.
CCUACGGGUGGCAGCAGUGAGGAAUAUUGGUCAAUGGACGAGAGUCUGAACCAGCCAAGUAGCGUGAAGGAUGACUGCCCUAUGGGUUGUAAACUUCUUUUAUAUGGGAAUAAAACGUUCCACGUGUGGGAUUUUGUAUGUACCAUAUGAAUAAGGAUCGGCUAACUCCGUGCCAGCAGCCGCGGUAAUACGGAGGAUCCGAGCUUUAUCCGGAUUUAUUGGGUUUAAAGGGAGCGUAGGUGGAUUGUUAAGUCAGUUGUGAAAGUUUGCGGCUCAACCGUAAAAUUGCAGUUGAAAAUGGCAGUCUUGAGUACAGUAGAGGUGGGCGGAAUUCGUGGUGUAGCGGUGAAAUGCUUAGAUAUCACGAAGAACUCCGAUUGCGAAGGCAGUUCACUGGACUGCAACUGACACUGAGGCUCGAAAGUGUGGGUAUCAAACAGGAUUAGAUACCCUUGUAGUC